This 577-nucleotide long non-coding RNA is filed under the name Brassica napus (rape). RNAcentral describes it as "long non-coding RNA (BNAP_LNC016324)". Lineage: Eukaryota; Viridiplantae; Streptophyta; Magnoliopsida; Brassicales; Brassicaceae. The record is from RNAcentral.
CGGUUUGGUCAAUUCGGAGACAUGUUAUAUGAGAUAACAAACCGAGGCAAUUUAGAUCACUUUCCUUUAGGCAGAUCUUUCUUCUCUACUAGUCCAUACUACGAUCUAGUCGAUCCAUGCUAGGGUUACAGAUUAAUAGAUAAUCUAUAUCAAUCUACUAACCUCUCUUUAGGUUUAGUAUAAAAAUUAGGAUUUCAAAUUUCUUUAUAAAUCCUCAUAUGGACCGAAUUUGAUCGUUCUUAUAGAACUCCCUUUCAUAAUAUAUGCAGCUGCUUUUGUUCUAGUCCAUGAACAGCUUAGGAACAAUGAUGUUCUUUCAUCCAGUGAUCCAUAUGCUGCUUACUACAUCAUUAUAUGUCAAUCUAUUUUCUUUUCUUAUGACCAGACCAUUGUCAAAUUCGAAUAUGUAGCAGCAUCCACCACAUAGGAGUUUAUCUCCUUAUAAUCUGUUCCAUAGUCUCUGUGAGUAUCCUUGUGUAACAAGCUAUGAUCGAAUGCUGUUAUUAGGAAAACAUGAAUCAUCUUUAGGCCUCGUGAUCAUGUGUCUUUUCUCACGGUUUCUUUAUCUCACUAGACU